UUGUAUUGCAUCUCCAACAUUUGUUAAUUAUUUUUGUGCGUCUGCUUUUGAGACCAUUAACAGCUGUACAUUUAGAAAUAACGUUGCCCUUCCUUUCUAAGGCUGUUUUGAAGUCUCCUUCUUUAACUGCAGUAACAAACCAGAAGUAUUUCCAGUCCACAUCUUACUUUCCUUUACGUUUUUGAACGUUAUGUAAAUAGGUGAGUUUUAAACAUGGGUAACAAAUGUGGAGCCCUCGUCCAAGCUGGGCAUAGGUUAUAAACAUUGUUCCUUCCGUUUUGUAUGAAGAUGUGAGUAUCACCUACCUACCUUGCAGCCUCUUGUACAAGCUCAUGUUGCCCAUGUUAGGGCCUUUGCUGAUGGCAGUGGCUCCUCUGUAUUCCCCAGAUACCAACCUGUGAUGUAUCACCUCUUUUCUCUCCCUCCUUUCCAAGGGCAUUCUGCUCUGCCCCCGACCGUGCUGUUGGCGUGUUGCAGGACGCGGACCUGUUAGUGCUGGAGAGCUGAGCAGCCCCAGUGAGCACACCAAAGGCUGCCAAAGGAAGGAAGUGGAAUUCUGGGCAGUUUGGAGGUUUUGAAGACAACCUUGCAAUGCUCAACGGUUCCUGAGCAGCCUGCUCUAAAUCGUCUUGAAGCAAGCUCAGCCUUCAGAAGGAGUCUGAAGAGAUUCAUGGAGGCCGGCAAUGGCACUGUUCCUGGGGAAGACUGGAGAAGGAAAGCUCAAAAUUACCCAUAUAAACAGCUCCUGAGGAACGAAUGGCUAACGAAAGGAAGAAGCUGUCUUGAGCGUUUGCAGUGCCAUGAUGUUCUGCCAUCCAAAAGGGAAUUAAUCGCUGAGUGGCAUGAAGAGCGCACAGCAGAGACAGCAGGCAUGGUCCAGACCUCAGGGGACUAAUUACAUCCUUAAAGGGUAAGAAAAUAAUCUGAGGUGCAUUGGAAAGAAAGAGUCUUAUUAAUGCUCCAUAAUACUCAUGUGCCCAGAGUUACUGGCGUAGCUCCAAUAUUUCUCCAUUAAAAAAAUAGAGACACUGGGAGAUACAAGGAUAUUUAUUGACCUAAAAAAAAAUAUCAGCAAGAAGCUCAAGAGAAUAUAUUAAAUACAUAAACUUGUUUGAGUUUUAAGAAGUGUCGCGGCAUACGCUGUAAGAUGGCAGUGAAUGAGAUUGAUUGUCUGUAAGCUGACGACGGAGAAGGGGACCCAUGAAAGAGAUGGUGAAGGGGGAAGCUGUUUGAAUCUGCUUACAGAAAUAGCAGGGUUUGGGGUAGGGGGACUGUUCCACGCACCUCGUGCAUCACGGGACAAGCCAGAGGUCAGGCAAUACGCAGCCACCGUCAGGAAAACCUGAUGCCAGA
RNAcentral lists this long non-coding RNA (1353 nucleotides) under Numida meleagris (helmeted guineafowl). RNAcentral's name for it is "lncRNA (ENSNMEG00000020891.1)". The record is from RNAcentral. Lineage: Eukaryota; Metazoa; Chordata; Aves; Galliformes; Numididae.